GAUGAACGCUGGCGGCAGGCUUAACACAUGCAAGUCGAACGCACCGCAAGGUGAGUGGCAGACGGGUGAGUAACGCGUGGGAACGUGCCCUUCAGUUCGGAAUAACCCAGGGAAACUUGGGCUAAUACCGGAUACGUGCGAGAGCAGAAAGAUUUAUCGCUGAAGGAUCGGCCCGCGUCUGAUUAGCUAGUUGGUGAGGUAACGGCUCACCAAGGCGACGAUCGGUAGCUGGCUGAGAGGAUGAUCAGCCACACCGGAACUGAGACACGGUCCGGACUCCUACGGGAGGCAGCAGUGGGGAAUAUUGGACAAUGGGGGCAACCCUGAUCCAGCCAUGCCGCGUGUGUGAAGAAGGCCUC
This 359-nucleotide ribosomal RNA is filed under the name uncultured bacterium. RNAcentral describes it as "bacterial SSU rRNA". It matches the Rfam family "Bacterial small subunit ribosomal RNA", at positions 28 to 418 of the family's 1533-position model. The record is from RNAcentral.